AAGACACUAGUAAAACGUGUAAUUACACUGCCUUGUCGAGGCAGAAUUGUGGGUUAAACUCCCGCGUGUCUUG
RNAcentral lists this transfer RNA (73 nucleotides) under Peprilus triacanthus (American butterfish). Its description in RNAcentral is "tRNA-Asp". It matches the Rfam family "tRNA". Rfam says of the family: Transfer RNA (tRNA) molecules are approximately 80 nucleotides in length. The record is from RNAcentral. Lineage: Eukaryota; Metazoa; Chordata; Actinopteri; Scombriformes; Stromateidae. RNAcentral also lists the same sequence under 1 other name.